AUUGAACGCUGGCGGCAGGCCUAACACAUGCAAGUCGAGCGGCAGCGGAAAGUAGCUUGCUACUUUGCCGGCGAGCGGCGGACGGGUGAGUAAUGUCUGGGAAACUGCCUGAUGGAGGGGGAUAACUACUGGAAACGGUAGCUAAUACCGCAUGACCUCGAAAGAGCAAAGUGGGGGAUCUUCGGACCUCACGCCAUCGGAUGUGCCCAGAUGGGAUUAGCUAGUAGGUGAGGUAAUGGCUCACCUAGGCGACGAUCCCUAGCUGGUCUGAGAGGAUGACCAGCCACACUGGAACUGAGACACGGUCCAGACUCCUACGGGAGGCAGCAGUGGGGAAUAUUGCACAAUGGGCGCAAGCCUGAUGCAGCCAUGCCGCGUGUGUGAAGAAGGCCUUAGGGUUGUAAAGCACUUUCAGCGAGGAGGAAGGCACCAUACCUAAUACGUGUGGUGAUUGACGUUACUCGCAGAAGAAGCACCGGCUAACUCCGUGCCAGCAGCCGCGGUAAUACGGAGGGUGCAAGCGUUAAUCGGAAUUACUGGGCGUAAAGCGCACGCAGGCGGUUUGUUAAGUCAGAUGUGAAAUCCCCGCGCUUAACGUGGGAACUGCAUUUGAAACUGGCAAGCUAGAGUCUUGUAGAGGGGGGUAGAAUUCCAGGUGUAGCGGUGAAAUGCGUAGAGAUCUGGAGGAAUACCGGUGGCGAAGGCGGCCCCCUGGACAAAGACUGACGCUCAGUGCGAAAGCGUGGGGAGCAAACAGG
Molecule: ribosomal RNA, 758 nt
Filed under: uncultured Enterobacteriaceae bacterium
Lineage: Bacteria; Pseudomonadati; Pseudomonadota; Gammaproteobacteria; Enterobacterales; Enterobacteriaceae
Description: bacterial SSU rRNA
Rfam family: Bacterial small subunit ribosomal RNA
Source: RNAcentral